RNAcentral lists this ribosomal RNA (822 nucleotides) under Triticum aestivum (bread wheat). Its description in RNAcentral is "partial small subunit ribosomal RNA". Lineage: Eukaryota; Viridiplantae; Streptophyta; Magnoliopsida; Poales; Poaceae. The record is from RNAcentral.
AUGUACCUAUCCCACGAUGAUGCAUGGUGGACUGUUGACCGUUUCGAGGACACCCACAAUCACCCCCUGAUCAAAAAGCCGUCCCUAACAAAAUUCUUAUCAUCACAUCGGUACAUUCCGAAGGAGGAGCAGGACUUCUUGAGGGUUCUGCACGGAUGCAACAUUGAGACUGCGAGGCAGAUGCAGCUGAUGUCAUGGUUCUACGGAAGCGCUAAAGACGUACCCUACACGACACAAGACAUUGCUAAUCAACGAGCUAAGUUCCGCUUAGAGCACUGCCACAAGGACAUUGGGAGCACAAUUGCAUACUUCCAAGAGAGGGCCAAAGAUUCAUAUUUCUACUGGAGAAUCAAACUUGAUGAUGAGGACAUGGUUGAGAACUUGUUCUGGAUAGAUGGCGCAUCACGCAGGGCAUAUGCAAAGUGUAAUGACUGUUUGUCGUUUGACACGACAUACAUGACAAACAUGUACAAGAUGCUGUGUGAACCAUUCAUUGGAAUUAAUAACCAUGGUCAAUCCAUCCAGUUUGGGUGUGGCUUCGUUCGAAAUGAACUAAAGGAAAACUUUGCGUGGCUGUUUAACACAUUCCUCCAUGCAAUGGGUGGUGUUGCCCCUAAAAACAUCACCACAGACCAGGACUUUGCAAUGAGGAGUGCGAUCGACGAGGUCUUCUUGAACAUAAUACACAGAAAUUGCCGCUGGCAUAUAAUGAAGAAGGCGCAUGAGAAACUUGGAAAACUUAUGGCUGAUGAUAAACCACUAAACAAAGCGUUCAAAGACUGUGUCGACAAUAGCUUGACUGGUACGUACCUAAACUGUUGA